Molecule: long non-coding RNA, 721 nt
Filed under: Manihot esculenta (cassava)
Lineage: Eukaryota; Viridiplantae; Streptophyta; Magnoliopsida; Malpighiales; Euphorbiaceae
Description: long non-coding RNA (MESC_LNC010824)
Source: RNAcentral
CUCAAUAUACUUCAUUACAUAACAUACUGUAAUCUCUUACAUUACAUCAUAGUACAAUUGUCAUGUCCACAAUCUAACUAUUACAUAAACAUACUUCAAAACUCUGGCUAACCUCCUGGUCUACCCUGUACCUGCACAUCUGGGGUUAGGGGAGAGGGGUGAGCUACAAAGCCCAGUGAGCAGAAUAGUGAAAUUAUAUAUUAAAAUUUCAUGCUUUCAUGAAAUGCAACACAUCACAACAAAUCACAUCUCGGAUGGUAUUGUCACCAAUAGUCCUCUACAUAGUCCAACUGUGCCGGGACGUAGAAUGGGUACAACCGGUCUUUCUCUUAACAUAACAUAUCAUACAUACCAAUGUGCCAGGGACAUAGAAUGGGUACAACCUGGACUUUCUCUUACAUCGUGCCAGGGACGUAGAAUGGGUACAACCUGGACUUCCAUACUAUCUCAUGCCGUAACAUCAUCAUAUCAUAUGAGGACUAAAGGAUCAUCCAAUAACCACUCCACAUCAACAUCAUAAAUGCAAUGCAACAUAUUCGUGAAUACUAAUGCAAACAACCUACUAUAUCUCAUGGCAUUCAUGAUGCAUGGGUCAUGCUCAAAAUUCAUAUUUCAUUUAUUUUAAAACUUAAGGUUUAUUCCACUCACCUCUGGCUAACUCUGACAAACUCUGUAGCAGCUGGCUCACUGCUGGGGUCCUCGGUUCCUCGGGUCCGAACCU